RNAcentral lists this transfer RNA (76 nucleotides) under Burkholderiales bacterium. Its description in RNAcentral is "tRNA-Arg". Lineage: Bacteria; Pseudomonadati; Pseudomonadota; Betaproteobacteria; Burkholderiales. The record is from RNAcentral.
GCCUCCGUAGCUCAGGGGAUAGAGCACAUUCCUCCUAAGAAUGGGGUCGUACGUUCGAUUCGUGCCGGAGGCGCCA